Molecule: RNA transcript, 3637 nt
Organism: Aedes albopictus (Asian tiger mosquito)
Lineage: Eukaryota; Metazoa; Arthropoda; Insecta; Diptera; Culicidae
Gene: Prp4k
Gene name: serine/threonine-protein kinase PRP4 homolog
Exons: 7
Source: RefSeq, a predicted model, not a curated record
GAAAACUGAAAUUUUCGCGAGAGAUGACGACGAACUGUUUCGGUCCUCAGUGGUGCGCGUUUGUUGCUGAUAAAAAUUAAAAUUUUGCCUCCGUAAAACUUGCAAAACAACUUCAAACUACGUUCAACUUGUUUCCCGUUAGUCAGCGCAGUGAAAUCAAUCGAGCUAUGGCCACCCGAGAAAUUAUAAUCGCAUCGGAUGACACCGAUUCGUCCGGGGCGGAGGAGAAAACGCCCGACAAACUGGACCAGAAGAAGUCCAAGAAGCAUAAGAAACACAAAAAGCACAAGAAAUCCAGCCGCGUCGAAAAGGGCGAUAAAUCCAAAUCAAAGAAACAUAAGAAGCACAAACGGAAGCACCGCGAGGAAGAAGGCGAACUCUCCGAUUCGGAAGAUGACAACGAAGAAAAUGCUAAGAGUACGUCUAAGAUUGACAUACGGAAGCUGGAGCACGCUAUUCGUGUCAAACCGAAGGAUGACGACAGCAAACCUAAGGACAACGGAAAUUUGAAGGCUUCCCUUGAGAAGCGUAAAGCAUCGCUGGUGCCGGAGAUUUCUACCGAUCCAGAAAAAUUAGUCGCCAUCCUGACCCAAUCGAUCGAGAAGAACAAAAUCGAUGAAGACCAGCCGAAAGCGGAUGUCGUUUCGGUCGAAAGUGACAGCGAUGGAACUGCCGUUGAAGAUGUACCCAGUCCGGAUGUCGCUGUCAUAGAGGACGAGUUAAAUCUGGAGGAUUUAAUGCGACAGAAAGCUCUGCUUCAAGCUUGUUUGGGUGAAUUUGGUUCCGAGGAUGAAGAAGAGGAGCCGGCAGCCGAAGUUGGUGAUGCAUCAUCAGCUAAACCGGAAAAGCGAAAAAAGAAGAAAAAUGAUGAUGUAAUUAUGAUCGAGGGAGAUUCUAGCGCUGAAGAUGUGAACCGUCUGCUGAAGAAGGCCAGACAGCGCAGUCCGCGAAGCCACGACGAGCGCAAGAGGAAGACGUCCGAAUCGGAGAAGCGUGCAAGCCGUGGAGAAGCGGAAGCAAAGGCCCGUGCUAAGCAGCAGGAACUGGAAAGAGAACGAGCCCGCGAAGAACACCGUCGGCGUGAACAGGAGGAAUACAAUCGCCGAAUGGCCGAGGAACGUUACGAGCGUGAAAGGGCGCGUGAUAGAGAACGUGAACGGGAAAGAGAACGGGAACGUGAGAGAGAUCGUGCCCGGGCGAGACAACGGGAAAGAGAUCGAUCGCUGGAACGGUACCGUGAUCGGAGGGGUUCCUCUAGGGAUCGACGUUCGAUGGACCGUGCGGGUGGCAAUGGACGGAUGUAUAAUUCUCGUGACCGGUAUCGUGGACGAAGCCGCAGCAGAGAUAGGGAUCGCGAUCGCGACGAUCGAGGUCGAUAUGAUCGAGGCGACAGGAACGACCGUGAUCGCAACGGAAGAGAUAGACGUGGCGGACCCGGAAGGCGACGGCCCGAGGAUGACAAGUUUAAGGGCUCGUUGAGCGAAGGCCUCAAACAGCAAAAAGAAUCUAGCAGCGAUAGUGAACUGGGCGAUAUCGAUAUUGACGAUGAGGAGGAUGAGGAAAAGAUCAUCGAAAAGAGGAGAAAGCAACGUGAAGAGCUUCUGAAGAAACUUGGAGUAACCAACGAAGACAGUAAUCCUCCACCGGAAGCACCCAAAGCAGAAGUAGUUCAGAUUAAAACUGAACCAAAAACAGACCCUAAGCACGAUCGGAGCAGCAACCACGUUGUUAAACCGCGCAAAAAAUCCGAAGAGUUUUUCAUAAUUGAUGAGCCGUCGCCGAUGGAUUCCAGAAAAGCAGAAAACAUGCUCAAUGAUUCGCUGACCCCUCCUAUCCCCAUAACGCGAGUGGACGCAGAUGAUCGCGACGAGUCUAGCGAGGCGGAAAAGUCCAAACUCGACAAAGACAAACAGGCGGGCAAACGUGCCGAAUGGGACAUGUUUGCGGAGCAGGAUAUUGACUCGAACUUCGAUUCCCCCAAUACGGUGGUUGCCAACAAGCAAGGCAAUGAAAAUCCGGCCCUUACCGAUAACUGGGACGACGCGGAAGGCUACUACCGGGUGCGCAUUGGGGAGGUGCUGGACAAUCGCUAUGUGGUCGCUAACUAUACCGGCCAGGGUGUAUUCAGUACAGUGGUGCGCGCAAGAGAUCAAGCUCGAGGAAAUGCCUUGGUUGCCGUUAAGAUCAUCAGGAAUAACGAAAUCAUGCAUAAAACCGGUCUUCGUGAAUUGGAAACUUUGAAGAAACUCAACGAUACAGAUCCGGAGGAUCGGUAUCAUUGUCUCAGACUGUUUCGUCACUUCUUCCACAAACAGCAUCUUUGCAUGGUCCUGGAACCGCUCUCUAUGAAUCUUCGCGAGGUACUUAAAAAAUACGGCAAAAACGUCGGUUUGCACAUCAAAGCCGUCCGGAGCUACACGCAACAGCUGUUGCUGGCCCUGAAACUUCUCAAGAAGUCCAACAUCCUGCACGCCGAUAUCAAACCGGACAACAUCCUGGUCAACGACAACAAUCUGGUGCUCAAGUUGUGCGAUUUUGGUUCGGCCUCCUCGGUGGCGGACAACGAUAUCACACCGUACUUGGUAUCACGGUUCUAUCGUGCACCGGAGAUCAUUCUUGGCCUUCCGUACGACUACGGAAUCGACAUGUGGUCCGCCGGUUGCACCAUCUAUGAAUUGUAUACUGGCAAAAUUUUAUUUAGUGGUAAAUCAAAUAAUCAAAUGCUUAAAUUUUUCAUGGAUUUAAAGGGCAAGAUACCGAACAAAAUCAUUCGGAAAGGACAGUUCAAAGACCAGCACUUCGAUGCGAACUGCAACUUCCUAUCGCACGAGAUCGACAAAAUUACGGAACGGGAAAAAAUCGUCGUCGUGUCGGUGAUCAAGCCGAACAGAGAUCUACAACAGGAGUUGAUCGCCGGUCAAAAUCUACCAGAUGACCAGAUUCGCAAAGUUUCGCAACUGAAGGAUCUGCUGGAUAAGGUUUUCGCGCUGGAUCCGGCCAAGCGAAUUUCCUUGAACCACGCACUGGCCCAUCCCUUUAUCCAGGAUAAGAUCUAAUAUCGAGAUAGUCCUGACGGGUGGCGGUUGGACCGUCCCAUAGGGAAGCGCCCAAACCGUACGAAGCAUGAUGGAAUCCAGCUUUGUACGUUCAACAGAAUAUCAGUGUGCUUGUGUGAAAAUGAACGCGUUAGAUGAUCUCUUGUUUUUACGAUGCAAAAAUAAGAGAGCACAUCGUUCGCGCACGAGGCUAGCUGGCCGCGGACCGGGCCGGACCCAAGACACGGCCGCAGUGCAGCGCAGUCCCACCACAUCUGCCUCUCUUUGUCAAUCUCAAGCCACCAAACGCAAACUGCUCUCGAGGGCUCUAAAUCCUGCAUCUUGCCCAAGUCCAAUGAUUCUGACCCACAAUUAUCCAACCACGAGUUGUAAGAGCGUGUUUGAGUGCGCCAAAGGUUGAGCAGUGCCUAUCUUUUCUGGCGCGCCGAAAGAGGUAGUGACAUAAUUGACAUUUACAACACAACUCUCUGUUUAGUUUGUUUUGAACAUAAUUUUCGAUCCUAUUCCCGUUCCAUUAGCAAAUUCGCUCCAAUCCUAUUUACCCUACAUUUACAAAAAAGAAAAAAAAAUGUCCAAACUGA